This 777-nucleotide ribosomal RNA is filed under the name Corynebacterium pseudotuberculosis. Its description in RNAcentral is "bacterial SSU rRNA". It matches the Rfam family "Bacterial small subunit ribosomal RNA", at positions 211 to 997 of the family's 1533-position model. The record is from RNAcentral. Lineage: Bacteria; Bacillati; Actinomycetota; Actinomycetes; Mycobacteriales; Corynebacteriaceae.
UUUUUCGGUACGAGAUGAGCCCGCGGCCUAUCAGCUUGUUGGUGGGGUAAUGGCCUACCAAGGCGUCGACGGGUAGCCGGCCUGAGAGGGUGGACGGCCACAUUGGGACUGAGAUACGGCCCAGACUCCUACGGGAGGCAGCAGUGGGGAAUAUUGCACAAUGGGCGCAAGCCUGAUGCAGCGACGCCGCGUGAGGGAUGACGGCCUUCGGGUUGUAAACCUCUUUCGACAGGGACGAAGCUUUUUGUGACGGUACCUGUAUAAGAAGCACCGGCUAACUACGUGCCAGCAGCCGCGGUAAUACGUAGGGUGCGAGCGUUGUCCGGAAUUACUGGGCGUAAAGAGCUCGUAGGUGGUUUGUCGCGUCGUCUGUGAAAUUCCGGGGCUUAACUCCGGGCGUGCAGGCGAUACGGGCAUAACUUGAGUGCUGUAGGGGAGACUGGAAUUCCUGGUGUAGCGGUGGAAUGCGCAGAUAUCAGGAGGAACACCGAUGGCGAAGGCAGGUCUCUGGGCAGUAACUGACGCUGAGGAGCGAAAGCAUGGGGAGCGAACAGGAUUAGAUACCCUGGUAGUCCAUGCCGUAAACGGUGGGCGCUAGGUGUGAGGGUCUUCCACGACUUUCGUGCCGUAGCUAACGCAUUAAGCGCCCCGCCUGGGGAGUACGGCCGCAAGGCUAAAACUCAAAGGAAUUGACGGGGGCCCGCACAAGCGGCGGAGCAUGUGGAUUAAUUCGAUGCAACGCGAAGAACCUUACCUGGGCUUGACAUAUACAAGAUC